AUCCCAUGUUGAAGACACUUCCUCAACUACUCCUUAUACCACUCCCAUGCUUCGUAUGAAGUUUCAGACUCCAUCUGCUAAAAAGAAGAUAUAUCAUUUUUGAGCUU
Molecule: small nucleolar RNA, 107 nt
Organism: Dioscorea cayenensis subsp. rotundata (Guinea yam)
Lineage: Eukaryota; Viridiplantae; Streptophyta; Magnoliopsida; Dioscoreales; Dioscoreaceae
Source: RefSeq, a predicted model, not a curated record